This 537-nucleotide ribosomal RNA is filed under the name uncultured bacterium. RNAcentral describes it as "bacterial SSU rRNA". It matches the Rfam family "Bacterial small subunit ribosomal RNA", at positions 8 to 526 of the family's 1533-position model. The record is from RNAcentral.
AGAGUUUGAUCCUGGCUCAGGAUGAACGCUGGCGGCGUGCCUAAUACAUGCAAGUCGAGCGAACUGAUUAGAAGCUUGCUUCUAUGACGUUAGCGGCGGACGGGUGAGUAACACGUGGGCAACCUGCCUGUAAGACUGGGAUAACUUCGGGAAACCGAAGCUAAUACCGGAUAGGAUCUUCUCCUUCAUGGGAGAUGAUUGAAAGAUGGUUUCGGCUAUCACUUACAGAUGGGCCCGCGGUGCAUUAGCUAGUUGGUGAGGUAACGGCUCACCAAGGCAACGAUGCAUAGCCGACCUGAGAGGGUGAUCGGCCACACUGGGACUGAGACACGGCCCAGACUCCUACGGGAGGCAGCAGUAGGGAAUCUUCCGCAAUGGACGAAAGUCUGACGGAGCAACGCCGCGUGAGUGAUGAAGGCUUUCGGGUCGUAAAACUCUGUUGUUAGGGAAGAACAAGUACGAGAGUAACUGCUCGUACCUUGACGGUACCUAACCAGAAAGCCACGGCUAACUACGUGCCAGCAGCCGCGGUAAUAC